GAAGCCAACGGAAAGAGGCUGCGAUGAAAACAAAACGACGCUCACAAGAACGCCUUUUUCGUAGCAACUUAAACAACAUUUGCAUUUAUGACAACUGUUUUCGUCUAGAUAUAAACUGAUUUUACACUUUUAUUUAUUUAGAUAGACCAAAUAUAUUCCCCUAUUUUACGUCAAAAGUAUAACAAAUCAUACUAGCUUAGCAUUAGCUGUCAAAAAGCCAGCUAGCUUAGCUUCUCCCGGGAAUUCUGAGUUCAUCAUCGACAACUUUAACAAUAACAAACAACAAUGUCGGACGAUUAUGAAUUCAGCGAUGACACUACUAUGAUGAGAAUGGAAGAGGAUGGAGAGGCAAACAGCGAUGACCCGAUGUCUGCAACCGGGGACUGUGGCCUGAUGGGGGGCGAGGCCGAGGGAUCCAAGAUCGACGCCAGUAAAAACGAGGAGGAUGAGGGGAAGAUGUUUGUAGGAGGGCUCAGCUGGGACACCACUAAGAAGGACCUGAAAGAUUAUUUUUCCAUAUAUGGGGAAGUUGUAGACUGCACUUUAAAACUGGACCCCAUGACGGGCCGCUCGAGGGGCUUUGGCUUUGUCCUCUUCAAGGAACCUGAUAGUGUCGACAAGGUUGCUACACAGAAGGAACAUAAACUCAAUGGAAAGGUCAUUGAUCCCAAGAAAGCCAAGGCGAUGAAGAGCAAGGAGCCUGUUAAGAAGAUUUUUGUUGGUGGUCUUUCUCCCGACACCCCUGAAGAGAAAGUCAGAGAGUACUUUAGUGCCUUCGGAGAGCUGGAGUCAGUUGAACUUCCCAUGGAGAACAAAACAAACAAAAGGAGAGGCUUCUGCUUCAUCACAUUCAAAGAGGAGGAACCAGUUAAGGGGAUCAUGGAGAAGAAGUACCACAAUAUUGGACUGAGCAAGUGUGAAGUAAAAGUGGCAAUGUCCAAGGAGCAGUACCAGCAGCAGCAGUACUGGGGGGGCAGAGGAGGGUACUCUUCUAGGUCUCGAGGAAGAGGUGGCGGUCCCAAUCAAAAUUGGAACCAGGGUUAUGGCAACUACUGGAAUCAAGGCUAUGGGAAUUAUGGCAAUUAUGGUUACGGAGAUCAAGGAUAUGGAGGAUAUGGAGGAUAUGGAGGCUAUGGAGGCUAUGGAGGCUAUGAUUACCCUGGUUACAACAACUAUUAUGGAUAUGGUGACUACAGCAUAGAUCAGUCUGGUGGAUAUGGCAAGUCGCCGCGGCGCGGUGGUCACACCAACAGUUACAAGCCGUAUUAACAGAGGGAACUCAUCUUCAAGUAGCGGAGCUUCCUUGCAGGCCAUGAGCUGACCCCAGAUACUCUCAGGGCCCGCUCAAUGCGGACCGGGUACGAGAAGCAUACGCUCUCGAAUGCUGCCAUUUGGGUUCAGAGUGAUGAAAGGCAGCAGAGUGAAGGUUUCCAGCUGAGAGCACUAGCUGAUUUAUUUCCGGGCAACCCGCGUGGAUGUUCUUUGGAACGUGUCAGCCUGAAAGAGACCAAGAGAAAACCUUUUUAAAACACCAGUGAUGGAAGAACUACCCACAUCCUUUUACUUAAAGGGGAACUCCACCGAUUUCACCGAACAACUGUAUAGUGUCUUUGUGUCCCCAGGUGGAGCUGCGGGAAGUCAGAUAUACAGUAUAUUGAAAACAACAGACUAGCACCUGAACCCAGACCUAACUUUUGAAGAUCAAGUUGCAUUGUGGGUAAUAAAGGUGCCAGGUGAGAACAAUUAGUGUAUGGCCUAGUAAGAAAAAUACAUGAAUUCCUGCUUUGUUCAGCACGAAUAUAGAAAAUGGUGGAGUACUCUUUAAAGUAAAAGUACCAAAACUAGAAUGUAAUAGCACUUAUUUACAAAAGUCAUGCACUUUAAAAUUAAAUUACAAAAGUAGUAACAAGUGUUUAAUUUGGGAAAUAACUCAUAAAAUGACAGAUUUUUUUUUUCACACAGUAAUAAGGUUGUUAACCACUGUGUUUAAUAAAUAUAUUUUUUGCAGGUUAAAUCUUAAUAUGAAAAGUAAUUAAAUUAGGCUACAAACUACAUAACUCUAAAACAGCCAAAAACUGUUUAACUUUAAUCUGUUAGUAAAUUAUUUAAAGUUAUUUGGGUGUGGGGCAUUGAGUAAGAGAGACAAAGAAAAAACAAAAACACAAAUGUUUUAUGGGGCCCUGGAUUAUUUACACAAUAUUAUCAUGUGUAUUUUGAAUGAGCAAUAUUUCCUGUUUUUAUAUCACAGAUAUGAUUGAUACAUAUAUAUUGUUACACUUUUACUCUGGCAUGUAAUGGAGAAGAUCUAUCAUUUAAAGGAGAAGUAACCCUUUGAAUGAAAGAUAUAUGAAAACUAAUUGUUAACAUCAGGGUGGAAAGCCAACACUGAACCAUCUGGAUCAGAU
This is an RNA transcript of Notothenia coriiceps (black rockcod), 2405 nucleotides long. It is a transcript of the gene named heterogeneous nuclear ribonucleoprotein C-like, with no coding region annotated. Lineage: Eukaryota; Metazoa; Chordata; Actinopteri; Perciformes; Nototheniidae. The record is from RefSeq and is a predicted model, not a curated record. The transcript has 10 exons.